UACGUAGGUGGCGAGCGUUGUCCGGAUUUACUGGGCGUAAAGCGCACGCAGGCGGUUCGCCAAGUUUGGAGUGACAGUUGUCGGCUCAACCGACAAAGGACUUCAAAAACUGGUGAACUUGAGGACGAGAGAGGAACAUGGAACUCCAGGUGUAGUAGUGAAAUGCGUAGAUAUCUGGAAGAACACCAAUGGCGAAGGCAAUGUUCUGGCUCGUUUCUGACGCUCAGGUGCGAAAGCCAGGGGAGCGAACGGG
This 253-nucleotide ribosomal RNA is filed under the name uncultured bacterium. Its description in RNAcentral is "partial 16S ribosomal RNA". It matches the Rfam family "Bacterial small subunit ribosomal RNA", at positions 524 to 776 of the family's 1533-position model. The record is from RNAcentral.